Molecule: unclassified non-coding RNA, 857 nt
Filed under: Hevea brasiliensis (rubber tree)
Lineage: Eukaryota; Viridiplantae; Streptophyta; Magnoliopsida; Malpighiales; Euphorbiaceae
Source: RNAcentral
GAUUAUCCUAGUCCUCCACCAGAGUAUGAUACUUGCUUGGGUGACUUGUACAGUGUUGCUUGGUUGGAAGACAGUGAUAAUCACAAUUUGAAGACGGAAACUUUACGCCAGCAAUAUGAACUGGUGAAGAAAAGAACGCUAAGUGAUGAUUAUGGUUAUGGCUCCCAUGUCAUGCAAUAUGGUGAUCUAACGCUCAACAAGAACGCUUUGUUCUCAUAUCUGGGUACAGAUCCUGCUAAUGAGAACAACACUUUCGUAGAGAAGAACUCCUUGAGGAGGCCAGCCACAAAAGUCACCAAUCAGCGUGACGCCGAUCUGGUCCACUUUUGGGAGAAGUUUCGCAAAGCUCCAGAAGGCUCCCACGGGAAAAUCGUAGCUCAGAAGAAGUUUGUGGAAGCAAUGUCCCAUAGAGUUCAUAUCGAUAACAGUGUGAAGCUAAUCGGAAAGCUGUUAUUUGGAAUUGAAAAAGGUCCUGAGGUGCUUGAUGCCAUCCGUCCUGCAGGACGACCCCUUGUCGACGACUGGGACUGUCUUAAGAAUAUGGUUAGGAGCUUUGAGGCACGCUGUGGAUCCCUCUCCCAGUACGGAAUGAAACACAUGAGAUCCUUCGCAAACCUAUGCAAUGCUGGAAUCAGCAAGGAGAAGAUGGCGGAGGCAUCAGCACAAGCUUGCGUAAGCGUCCCUCCAGGCCCAUGGAGCUCUCUGCACAAGGGCUUCACUGCAUGAUGAUGAAGCCAAGCCACUCAUCCAAUUUGGAAGUACGUUUCUCCAACCAUUGUUUAUAUCAUCUAUGUUUUAAUGGGUCUGUCGAUGACGAGCUAUCUGUAAAUACAAACUACAGGCCGUUGUGUAAGGGA